UGCCUAAUACAUGCAAGUCGAGCGAUCAGACGAGGAGCUUACUCCUCUGACGUUAGCGGCGGACGGGUGAGUAACACGUGGAUAACCUACCUAUAAGACUGGGACAACUUCGGGAAACCGGAGCUAAUACCGGAUAACAUGUUGAACCGCAUGGUUCAACAGUGAAAGACGGUCUUGCUGUCACUUAUAGAUGGAUCCGCGUCGCAUUAGCUAGUUGGUAAGGUAACGGCUUACCMAGGCMACGAUGCGUAGCCGACCUGAGAGGGUGAUCGGCCACACUGGAACUGAGACACGGUCCAGACUCCUACGGGAGGCAGCAGUAGGGAAUCUUCCGCAAUGGGCGAAAGCCUGACGGAGCAACGCCGCGUGAGUGAAGAAGGUCUUCGGAUCGUAAAACUCUGUUAUUAGGGAAGAACAAAUGUGUAAGUAACUAUGCACGUCUUGACGGUACCUAAUCAGAAAGCCACGGCUAACUACGUGCCAGCAGCCGCGGUAAUACGUAGGUGGCAAGCGUUAUCCGGAAUUAUUGGGCGUAAAGCGCGCGUAGGCGGUUUUUUAAGUCUGAUGUGAAAGCCCACGGCUCAACCGUGGAGGGUCACUGGAAACUGGAAAACUUGAGUGCAGAAGAGGAAAGUGGAAUUCCAUGUGUAGCGGUGAAAUGCGCAGAGAUAUGGAGGAACACCAGUGGCGAGGGCGACUUUCUGGUCUGUAACUGACGCUGAUGUGCGAAAGCGUGGGGAUCAAACAGGAUUAGAUACCCUGGUAGUCCACGCCGUAAACGAUGAGUGCUAAGUGUUAGGGGGGUUCCGCCCCUUAGUGCUGCAGCUAACGCAUUAAGCACUCCGCUUGG
Molecule: ribosomal RNA, 850 nt
Filed under: uncultured bacterium
Lineage: Bacteria
Description: bacterial SSU rRNA
Rfam family: Bacterial small subunit ribosomal RNA
Source: RNAcentral